RNAcentral lists this ribosomal RNA (1009 nucleotides) under uncultured Bifidobacterium sp. RNAcentral's name for it is "bacterial SSU rRNA". It matches the Rfam family "Bacterial small subunit ribosomal RNA", at positions 504 to 1507 of the family's 1533-position model. Lineage: Bacteria; Bacillati; Actinomycetota; Actinomycetes; Bifidobacteriales; Bifidobacteriaceae. The record is from RNAcentral.
UGUCCCAGCCGCCGCGGUAAUACGUAGGGUGCAAGCGUUAUCCGGAAUUAUUGGGCGUAAAGGGCUCGUAGGCGGUUCGUCGCGUCCGGUGUGAAAGCCCAUCGCUUAACGGUGGAUCCGCGCCGGGUACGGGCGGGCUUGAGUGCGGUAGGGGAGACUGGAAUUCCCGGUGUAACGGUGGAAUGUGUAGAUAUCGGGAAGAACACCAAUGGCGAAGGCAGGUCUCUGGGCCGUUACUGACGCUGAGGAGCGAAAGCGUGGGGAGCGAACAGGAUUAGAUACCCUGGUAGUCCACGCCGUAAACGGUGGAUGCUGGAUGUGGGGCCCGUUCCACGGGUUCCGUGUCGGAGCUAACGCGUUAAGCAUCCCGCCUGGGGAGUACGGCCGCAAGGCUAAAACUCAAAGAAAUUGACGGGGGCCCGCACAAGCGGCGGAGCAUGCGGAUUAAUUCGAUGCAACGCGAAGAACCUUACCUGGGCUUGACAUGUUCCCGACGAUCCCAGAGAUGGGGUUUCCCUUCGGGGCGGGUUCACAGGUGGUGCAUGGUCGUCGUCAGCUCGUGUCGUGAGAUGUUGGGUUAAGUCCCGCAACGAGCGCAACCCUCGCCCCGUGUUGCCAGCGGAUUGUGCCGGGAACUCACGGGGGACCGCCGGGGUUAACUCGGAGGAAGGUGGGGAUGACGUCAGAUCAUCAUGCCCCUUACGUCCAGGGCUUCACGCAUGCUACAAUGGCCGGUACAACGGGAUGCGACGCGGCGACGCGGAGCGGAUCCCUGAAAACCGGUCUCAGUUCGGAUCGCAGUCUGCAACUCGACUGCGUGAAGGCGGAGUCGCUAGUAAUCGCGAAUCAGCAACGUCGCGGUGAAUGCGUUCCCGGGCCUUGUACACACCGCCCGUCAAGUCAUGAAAGUGGGCAGCACCCGAAGCCGGUGGCCUAACCCCCUGUGGGAUGGAGCCGUCUAAGGUGAGGCUCGUGAUUGGGACUAAGUCGUAACAAGGUAACCAAUCGA